GUCUCCAGGAGUGUCUCGAUUCCUGCUUCAUUCUCUUUCCAUUUUGCUGGGCAAACUGCGGCUCAGAAAGACAAAGGCCUUCCCCACAGCGGAAAACCUCCUAGGCCGUACCCAAAGCUCCGCACGGUCGGGAGAACUGGGGACUGAGGGAGGCCAAGAGACCAGAACGGGUUAAGAUCAUGAAGCUGCGGAGCACCGCCAAGGCCUAGAGAGACCGGGCGCCUCGAACCCGGUUCCCCCUCCGCUCCCAGCUUCCGGGCGGGGCGCGACUUCCGGUUCCGACGGCGGGCUACAAAGCUUGGCGCCGGGAAACUGGUUUUUCGUUCCCGCAGCCGGCAGCGGGGUUUCGCGUCUCAUCGCCAGCCGCCCCGUCUCCCCGCCUUCGGAGGGGCACCUGCGCAGGAGUCUGAGAAAUCCUUUUCCAGAGUUCUAGAAUGGAGACUGAAGGGUACCCAGAGAUACAAAGAAAUAGAGAAAUCCAGAAUGAUGAAGUAAGGUCAUCACCAAAUGAGAGGAUGGCUGAGGAGCCAGAAGUUGUCCUGAUAACACUUCCCCAGGUCCAGGUUCCACCAGAGAGCCUCGAUGAAGACUCUGAAGAAGACCUUGAGACUGUGCCCCGAGGGAGUCCUCUCAACCCUGCAGCCUCCAGGCAGAGGUUCCGGCAGUUCUGCUAUGAGGAUGCAGCUGGCCCCAGGGAUGUCCUCAGACAUCUCCAGGAGCUUGCUGGACAGUGGCUGAGACCUGAUAUUUACACAAAGGAGCAGAUUGUGGAAAUACUGGUGCAGGAGCAAUUCCAGGCCGUCCUCCCUGAGGAACUCAGAGCUUGGGCACAGAGAUGUCAGCCUGGGGUCAGAGUCACUGGCUAAAUCCUACUGCUUGCUUCUUGCCCAGCCUACAUGUGAGAAGUAACCAAAGGCUCUCUUUGUUACAAGAUCCAACUGCAGUCAUGGGAAAUCUGAACUUCGGUUUUCUUUGAGCUUGCAUUUGACUAGCUGUAAUAAGAAUUAACCAAAACCUUUUUUUGGCUGAAGCAGCUCUAUUACCUGGGACUGUGAACUCCAGAAUGAGUUUCCCUGCCCUCUUGUAAGGACAGUCAGCCCGCUGCUUGUUUUUGCUCUGCUGAAUGCCUCCUUUUUUGUACUUUGUGACAUGCUUUAAUAUAUUAAAGCAUGUUUUUAUGUAUCCAAAGAGGUGAUUGCUUCAACUUUAAUAUUCUUGAUUCUUGUUGUGGUGGCAUGAAUGGAAGCUUCUGUAACCCCACCAGUAACUCAUUUGGGAUGUCCUUGAAAUAUUAAAGCUCUGUUUUUAGGAAAAAUGUCCUUUGAUGAUUUACCAGUUUAGCUCUUAGUAGUCAGCAUUUGAGAAAGGUGAGAUAAUUAUCAGGAGUAGAUGUGAGCUCGAGAUAAGAACUGUGUGGCAUUCGCUGAGCUGGGAAAUAGGAACAGGCCUGGCCUUUGUUUUCAAAGUCAGAAUUUAAAUUGGACAAAACUGAGAGGCGUAAAACAGGGUCAUAAGAGGUAACUCUCAGGCAGGGCUGUUUGAUUUGCUCUUUCUCCAUUUUCAUCACCUUUGUUCUACAGCUCGUCUUCCUGUAAGAGGACUCACUCAACCAUCUGACAAUUCUGCUCUUCCCGAAACAGAGGCCAUCCUGGCUUUGUGUGUGUGGAGGCCUGUACUUUGGUUGACAGCUGAGACAGAGCAGUAUCUCUGGUUGUGACAGGCAGAGAGGGAACAGCAGCUGCUUCCCCAGCAUGACCCAGUCUUGAGGAACCUUUCUGUCUCUGCGGCCUGGCUUUGGGAUUUGUAGAUCCGUUCCUGUAACACACUUGGUACCAAUUCGGAAACUAAUCUUUUGGGAUAGGGGCUGCUUAACUCCAUGCUGGAACUCCUGUUGAUUCUGCUGAUGUUUGUUUAGUACUUCAUGUGCCUUUGGGACUCUUCUAGAUGCUAGCAUAUAAAUACUAUAAAACCAAGUUUGAAAGAAAUGCAUAGUUUUUGAGGAGAGGAAGAAGCUAUACAAAUAUAUCAUUAGACAUGCUAGAGUAAAGCUAGUUUUCCUUUUGGCAUCUGGUUUUGCGAGAGCACUAAGAAACAUGAUGACCUAGAGGGGUGGGAUAGGGAGGAUGGGAGAGAGGCUCCAGAGGGAGAGGAUAUGGGGAUAUGUGUGUAUGCAUAUGGCUGAUUCGCUUUGUUGUACAACAGAAACUAACACAGUAUUGUGAAGCAGUUAUACUCCAAUAAAGAUCUAUUGAAAAAAAAUGUUAAAAGCAAAGAGGAAAUAGCUAAGGGAAGUGGCGUUUUAAUUGAACUUUAGGAGUAGGAGAUCACUGGACAGAAGGUGCACCUUUUGCAAAGAGUAAAAUUUAACAUUGGCAAAGGAGGAACUCUAAGUGUUGUAUCUUCAGUACUUCAGUUUGUUCCAAACAUUCUGAAGGUAUUUCCUUUAGUCUGCAGGCAUUAGGAACUCCUGGUGUUAAGGAAUUUCCUGACCUGCUCCAGUUUCUCAGCUGCUUUGAUGGCCUAGAAUUUAGCAUGCAAGUAAAGGGCCAGAGUUUACAGGUGGACCAAAAAGUUUUCAUUUUGCGGGUUUUAUUACAAAACAGCUGAGGUUUCCUGGAUUGAGUGCACUUAGCACUGGUUUUUCUCAACCUUGGCACUUUGGGACCAGGUAAUUCCCUUUUGUGGGGACUUGUCCUAUGGAUUAUAGGACGUUCAGCAGCAUCUCUAUCCUCUGCUCACUAGUUAAAAGUAACACCCCCGAGAUGUGACAACCAAAAUGUCUUCAAACAUUGCCAAAUGUUCCUUGGGGGCAAGUUUGCCCCUGGUUGAAAACCACUGGUUUUAAGGAGGAGAGUUCAUCUAGACAUGCCACAGAUUACCCUCAGGUCCAUGGUCUCUUAAGGUUAAUGUUGAAUUGAGAAAGCUAUUGGAAAAGUUGUAUGAAUUGGGCUUUAUGGUUCCUUUUUUCUCUUUUAAUUAAAAAAUUCUUAUUCAAUGUUUAAA
This is a non-coding RNA of Delphinapterus leucas (beluga whale), 3003 nucleotides long. The record is from RefSeq and is a predicted model, not a curated record. Lineage: Eukaryota; Metazoa; Chordata; Mammalia; Artiodactyla; Monodontidae.